This is a long non-coding RNA of Vicia villosa (hairy vetch), 726 nucleotides long. RefSeq lists it as uncharacterized. The transcript has 3 exons. NCBI's taxonomy places the organism in Eukaryota, Viridiplantae, Streptophyta, Magnoliopsida, Fabales, Fabaceae. The record is from RefSeq and is a predicted model, not a curated record.
AACAAUCUCUUUCUAAAUCCAUGUGAUUCAUGUGUGCAUAUUAUGGAUGUAAAAAAAUCAUGAAGUUAAGUACAAUUUAUCUAUGCAUUAUCCAAUUUGAAUUGAUGUUGAAUUGACGUGUAUCUAUUUAUUUACUCAUGUAUUGUAGGGCUCUAUUGUACCUUGGUCAGUUAGCUAGCUCUUAUAUGGGUGAUAUUAAUCAGUCGCACUACAACAUAACUAUUAACAAAAUAUUUCAAAGUACUGAAUUGAAAAUGGGGAACACGGUUGUCGUCUGGCAUCACUACGGAAUCAAAGAGUAAGCGGUGAGUGGCUAGCGGUGUUAUGGCGUCUGCAACAAGUGGCUGUGGCAUCUGCGGUGAAUGGUUAACAACAUUACAGUGUCUCUGUCGGAAGGUUGAAUCUGAGAAGAAAAGAAGGUGCUCAUGUUCCAUAUAAGGACAGUAAACUUACUUGGUUUCUAGAGAUCGGUUUACUUGUCUUGUACGGCGUCAGUUGUUGUUGCUGGACGGCGAUCUCUAAGAAGCUUGACCCAGGAUUUUUACAUAAGACGUCAUCUGAAGUUCUUUUUGAAAGGGGAAGCAAUGUUGUCACCAUGGACAACCACAAAACUUCCCAUCAUCUUCAUAUGAAGCUGCCAUGGAGAAACUUUCAUCUCUUAUUACUCGCCAACGGAAUGAGGAGAAGCCACCCGUUCCUAAUAAAUUAGGAAGGAUGUCAAUGUAU